UCCCAGACUCCUACGGGAGGCAGCAGUGGGGAAUAUUGCACAAUGGGGGAAACCCUGAUGCAGCGACGCCGCGUGAGCGAUGAAGUAUUUCGGUAUGUAAAGCUCUAUCAGCAGGGAAGAAAAUGACGGUACCUGACUAAGAAGCCCCGGCUAACUACAUGCCAGCAGCCGCGGUAAUACGUAGGGGGCAAGCGUUAUCCGGAUUUACUGGGUGUAAAGGGAGCGUAGACGGUCCUGCAAGUCAGAUGUGAAAUCCGGGGGCUCAACCCCCGAACUGCAUUUGAAACUGUUGGUCUUGAGUAUCGGAGAGGCAGGCGGAAUUCCUAGUGUAGCGGUGAAAUGCGUAGAUAUUAGGAGGAACACCAGUGGCGAAGGCGGCCUGCUGGACGACAACUGACGGUGAGGCGCGAAAGCGUGGGGAGCAAACAGGAUUAGAUACCCUCGUA
RNAcentral lists this ribosomal RNA (446 nucleotides) under uncultured bacterium. Its description in RNAcentral is "bacterial SSU rRNA". It matches the Rfam family "Bacterial small subunit ribosomal RNA", at positions 329 to 792 of the family's 1533-position model. The record is from RNAcentral.